UGCCAGCCGCCGGGUAAUACGGAGGGUGCGAGCGUUAAUCGGAAUUACUGGGCGUAAAGCGCGCGUAGGCGGCUUGGUCAGUCGGAUGUGAAAGCCCCGGGCUUAACCUGGGAACUGCAUUCGAUACUGCCUGGCUAGAGUAUGGGAGAGGGAAGUGGAAUUUCCGGUGUAGCGGUGGAAUGCGUAGAUAUCGGAAGGAACACCAGUUGCGAAGGCGGCUUCCUGGCCCAAUACUGACGCUGAGGUGCGAAAGCGUCGGGAGCGAACAGGAUUAGAUA
RNAcentral lists this ribosomal RNA (278 nucleotides) under uncultured bacterium. RNAcentral describes it as "partial 16S ribosomal RNA". It matches the Rfam family "Bacterial small subunit ribosomal RNA", at positions 506 to 784 of the family's 1533-position model. The record is from RNAcentral.